CGGAACGGGUGAGUAACGCGUGAGGAACCUGCCUCAAAGAGGGGGAAAACAGUUGGAAACGACUGCUAAUACCGCAUAAGCCCACGGGCCGGCAUCGAGCAGAGGGAAAAGGAGCAAUCCGCUUUGAGAUGGCCUCGCGUCCGAUUAGCUAGUUGGUGAGGUAACGGCCCACCAAGGCAACGAUCGGUAGCCGGACUGAGAGGUUGAACGGCCACAUUGGGACUGAGACACGGCCCAG
RNAcentral lists this ribosomal RNA (238 nucleotides) under uncultured bacterium. RNAcentral describes it as "partial 16S ribosomal RNA". It matches the Rfam family "Bacterial small subunit ribosomal RNA", at positions 100 to 334 of the family's 1533-position model. The record is from RNAcentral.